RNAcentral lists this ribosomal RNA (335 nucleotides) under uncultured bacterium. RNAcentral describes it as "bacterial SSU rRNA". It matches the Rfam family "Bacterial small subunit ribosomal RNA", at positions 568 to 899 of the family's 1533-position model. The record is from RNAcentral.
CUCGUAGGCGGUUUGAUAAGUCGGGUGUGAAACCUCCAGGCUCAACCUGGAGCCGCCAUUCGAUACUGUCAUGACUAGAAUUCGGUAGGGGACCACGGAAUUCCUGGUGUAGCGGUGAAAUGCGCAGAUAUCAGGAGGAACACCAGCAGCGAAGGCGGUGGUCUGGGCCGACAUUGACGCUGAGGAGCGAAAGCGUGGGGAGCGAACAGGAUUAGAUACCCUGGUAGUCCACGCCGUAAACGUUGGGCACUAGGUGUGGGGACUAUUCAACGGUUUCCGUGCCGCAGCUAACGCAUUAAGUGCCCCGCCUGGGGAGUACGGCCGCAAGGCUAAAA